AGCCCCAUGAAGACCCUAUAUGGGGUUUAACCCUGCCCAGUGAGUCAAUUAAACGGCCGCGUAAGCGCUAAGGUAGCAUAAUGAUUUGCCCCUUAAUUAGGGGCUGGUAUGAAUGGGUAAAUGGGGUAAACCUUUAUUUGCUGGAACCCUUUAAAUUAUAUUGAGUGUGAAAAUACACUCCUUUGAAAAAAAGACCAAAAGACCCUAGGAUCUUAAAUUAAAGGUAUUAUAUUUUAACUAUAAUUUUUAUUGGGGAAAUGGAGGAAAAUCAUCCUUUACGGCAAAAAUUUGGUCAAACCUUAGAGAAAAAAAGUUACCCUAGGGAUAACAGGCUAAUCUUUUUAGAAAGUCCAAAUUUACAAAAAGAACUAGCACCUCGAUGUUGGCUUAGGAGUAACUAUAGUGCAGCAGCUAUAGCUAAGGGCUUGUUCCGCCCACAGUUUCCU
Molecule: ribosomal RNA, 446 nt
Filed under: Ophryotrocha sp. NL
Lineage: Eukaryota; Metazoa; Annelida; Polychaeta; Eunicida; Dorvilleidae
Description: partial 16S ribosomal RNA
Rfam family: Bacterial large subunit ribosomal RNA
Source: RNAcentral